This 252-nucleotide ribosomal RNA is filed under the name uncultured Desulfuromusa sp. Its description in RNAcentral is "partial 16S ribosomal RNA". It matches the Rfam family "Bacterial small subunit ribosomal RNA", at positions 1132 to 1382 of the family's 1533-position model. Lineage: Bacteria; Pseudomonadati; Thermodesulfobacteriota; Desulfuromonadia; Desulfuromonadales; Geopsychrobacteraceae. The record is from RNAcentral.
UGGGCACUCUAAGGAGACUGCCGGUGACAAACCGGAGGAAGGUGGGGAUGACGUCAAGUCAUCAUGGCCCUUAUGUCCAGGGCUACACACGUGCUACAAUGGCCGGUACAAAGGGCAGCGAUACCGCAAGGUGGAGCAAAUCCCAAAAAGACCGGUCUCAGUUCGGAUUGGAGUCUGCAACUCGACUCCAUGAAGUUGGAAUCGCUAGUAAUCGCGUAUCAGCAUGACGCGGUGAAUACGUUCCCGGGCCUU